Molecule: ribosomal RNA, 322 nt
Filed under: uncultured eukaryote
Lineage: Eukaryota
Description: partial 18S ribosomal RNA
Rfam family: Eukaryotic small subunit ribosomal RNA
Source: RNAcentral
CCCUUAGAUGUUCUGGGUCGCACGCGUGUUACACUGAGUGGAUCAGCGGGUCAGGUUGCGCGAAAGCGUUUCCUAAUCUUUAAAUCCGCUCGUGAUGGGGAUUGACGGUUGCAAUUUUCUGUCAUGAACGAGGAAUACCUUGUAAGCGCGGGUCAUCAUCCCGCGCUGAAUACGUCCCUGCCCUUUGUACACACCGCCCGUCGCUCCUACCGAUUGAGUGGUCCGGUGAGGCUUUGGGAUCUGAGCGGAAAGAGCGUUUCGCUGUUUCUGCUCGGAAAACUCAGUCGAACCUUAUCAUUUAGAGGAAGGAGAAGUCGUAACA